RNAcentral lists this small RNA (138 nucleotides) under Edwardsiella anguillarum. Its description in RNAcentral is "RtT sRNA". It matches the Rfam family "RtT RNA". From Rfam's summary of the family: This family represents a bacterial cis-regulatory element known as RtT RNA. The exact function of RtT is unknown although it is thought that it may be involved in changing the cellular response in relation to amino acid starvation. The record is from RNAcentral. Lineage: Bacteria; Pseudomonadati; Pseudomonadota; Gammaproteobacteria; Enterobacterales; Hafniaceae.
CUGCACUCGAGCUGGGGAAGGUGAGAACCUUCGCGACCAAGGUUCGCGUCGAGCAACGCGAGACAAACGUUGCCGCAGGCAAUGGCCCACAGGGCGAGGCGAGACGCAGCGCGCCGAGUCAUCCUUCCCCCACAACCA